UAGUUUGAUCCUGGCUCAGGACGAACGCUGACGGUGUGCUUUAGACAUGCAAGUCGAACGAGAAAGCCCUUCGGGGUUAGUAAAGUGGCGAACGGGUGAGUAACACGUGGGCAAUCUGCCCUUCGUUGGGGGACAACCGGGGGAAACCCCGGCUAAUACCCCGUAAGCUUGUCGGGUCACAUGGCCUGACAAGGAGAGGUAGCUUCGGCCAUCCGGCGAAGGAGGAGCCCGCGGUACAUUAGCUAGUUGGUGAGGUAACGGCUCACCAAGGCUACGAUGUAUAGCUGGUCUGAGAGGAUGAUCAGCCACACUGGGACUGAGACACGGCCCAGACUCCUACGGGAGGCAGCAGUCGGGAAUCUUGCACAAUGGGCGAAAGCCUGAUGCAGCAACACCGUGUGAGCGAUGAAGGCCCUAGGGUCGUAAAGCUCUGUUUGCGAGGACGAAGGGCGAAGGGUUAAUAGCCCUUAGCCUGACGGUACUUGUACAGAAAGCCCCGGCUAACUACGUGCCAGCAGCCGCGGUAAUACGUAGGGGGCGAGCGUUGUCCGGAAUUAUUGGGCGUAAAGAGCGUGUAGGCGGCUUGGUAAGUCUGCUGUGAAACCUUGGGGCUCAACCCCAAGCGUGCAGUGGAUACUGUCAAGCUAGAGGAUGGUAGAGGCCAGUGGAAUUCCCAGUGUAGCGGUGAAAUGCGCAGAUAUUGGGAGAACACCAGUAGCGAAAGCGGCUGGCUGGGCCAUUCCUGA
This 746-nucleotide ribosomal RNA is filed under the name uncultured bacterium. Its description in RNAcentral is "bacterial SSU rRNA". It matches the Rfam family "Bacterial small subunit ribosomal RNA", at positions 9 to 743 of the family's 1533-position model. The record is from RNAcentral.